This 1623-nucleotide long non-coding RNA is filed under the name Pogona vitticeps (central bearded dragon). RNAcentral's name for it is "lncRNA (ENSPVIG00000006375.1)". Lineage: Eukaryota; Metazoa; Chordata; Lepidosauria; Squamata; Agamidae. The record is from RNAcentral.
GACUCACACACGAAUAAGGAAAGGAUCUGACCCACAGGCAGGUCGGCGGCUGCCUCUCCCGGUUGUGCUUGAGGACUAGGCUUCGUCCGGCUACUCCUGUCCCCAUCAUCCCACUUUCCCACCACAUCUGGACCAAACUUGAAAACAAGAGGGCUGUAUGCCCCUCAGCUAAGGCUCCUCCAUAGGGCCCGGAAGAAGGUUGCAUUUCCUGCACCCCCCUGUGGAGCAGUUGGUUCUCUGCAUUUCCCCAUUCAUGCUGCACAUCAUUACAUCACAGAAACUGACGCUGCAUCUUUCAGAGUGAGCAUUUUUGCAGCGCCUGAAAUGCCGCCACCACCAUGGCCUUUUCUGGAGUGAAUGUGGCACACCCACAGAGGGAGAGCCUCCGACGCACUCUUCCUCUGCCCCAACCUGUCUGUCCCCUUACUUGCUUUCCUGUCUCUAUCUGGCGUGGGAGUGACGUCUCCUCUCUUCACCGCAGUGGCAAGCAAAGGGAGCUUCUAUACUACUACCCAAGAACGAUAUGCUCUCUCAGCUGGAGAAAAAGGUGGCUUUCUUUGGCAGGAUCAAGCCCAGCCUGGAUGCCUUUCAUUCCAUAAGGCCAGCUAGGUCUUCUCUUCCCAUUGUUCUCUGCUGCCACUCACAGGAGAGCCUCCCUUCCGUCUCUUCUUGGCGGGUAUCGGCAUUUCUUAUCUCUGUUUAGAUGGCCGCAGGGCACCGUCCUUUACUACAUUAUCAACAACUCUGAUUGUGGCAUAAUCUUGAGCAAAUAAGUGUGGUGCUGGAACAGAAGGAGAGUCAACAAACAAAGGAUAAUAGCCUGUGAUUUCAGUUCUCCGCUCUGUUGAUUUUCCCCAACCGCAGCCAAACAGGAAAAAAAGCAUUCCAGAGGUAUAUAUUCUCACUGAUCACUUGCUCCCAGCAAAGAUAUUGCAAGCACUGUUCCUAAAUUAGUGCAAAACCAGUCGUGCCAAGGCUGGUUCACAAGACUUUCCUCUCUUUUCUGGGAGAAACAGAUGAUGCCUCCCUGCUGGCCCGCCCAUCCCCCAAUGAGGCCAACAUGGGCACCAUAGGAAUAAGGCGAGCCUGCCUCAACAGCUUCUUAGAGAUGUUUCUUACUCCCAAGGAGAGCAGACGUCAGGGUGGCAGGAUCUAGUUUGUGGCUGGCAUCUUUUAAUUAGCAUUCCAAGUUCUACCAAGAGGGGAGACAACGUUAUGUCUGCACAUCUCAACAAGCCAUGGAUUGUGUUAGCUGUGAUUUGUUAUUCAGCCAUGAACUGCUCUGCAGACCUCCAAGUGUUUUCCCCAUUCCUGGUCUGUUUUUCCAACCACUUUUAGCCUCCCUUGAUUCAGGUAAAACAAGCCAGGAACAAGCUCUUGUCUUUUGCUUAAACAUAACAACAACAAGCCAUAGUUCAAAUAAGCCAUAGUUGUUGGACUAGCAACAAACCAUGGCUUCUAACUGUGUUUAACCACAAACCAUGGUUUGUUUGGGGAGAAAAAUGUAGGUACAACAAGCAAGAAUUCUUCAGUCAAGAAUUCAGUGUCAACAGGGUCAAACUGUUGCUGAUUAUUUAUAAAAUUUAAUGUAAUAAAACUCAAAAUGAAGAUGUCCUAAAGUCA